RNAcentral lists this ribosomal RNA (492 nucleotides) under uncultured bacterium. RNAcentral describes it as "partial 16S ribosomal RNA". It matches the Rfam family "Bacterial small subunit ribosomal RNA", at positions 29 to 507 of the family's 1533-position model. The record is from RNAcentral.
AGUGAACGCUGGCGGUAGGCCUAACACAUGCAAGUCGAACGGCAGCACAGUAAGAGCUUGCUCUUACGGGUGGCGAGUGGCGGACGGGUGAGGAAUACAUCGGAAUCUACUUUUUCGUGGGGGAUAACGUAGGGAAACUUACGCUAAUACCGCAUACGACCUACGGGUGAAAGCAGGGGAUCUUCGGACCUUGCGCGAUUGAAUGAGCCGAUGUCGGAUUAGCUAGUUGGCGGGGUAAAGGCCCACCAAGGCGACGAUCCGUAGCUGGUCUGAGAGGAUGAUCAGCGACACUGGAACUGGAACACGGUCCAGACUCCUACGGGAGGCAGCAGUGGGGAAUAUUGGACAAUGGGCGCAAGCCUGAUCCAGCCAUACCGCGUGGGUGAAGAAGGCCUUCGGGUUGUAAAGCCCUUUUGUUGGGAAAGAAAAGCAGCAGGUUAAUACCCCGCUGUUCUGACGGUACCCAAAGAAUAAGCACCGGCUAACUUCGUG